Molecule: unclassified non-coding RNA, 118 nt
Organism: Nomascus leucogenys (northern white-cheeked gibbon)
Lineage: Eukaryota; Metazoa; Chordata; Mammalia; Primates; Hylobatidae
Rfam family: Y RNA
About the family: Y RNAs are components of the Ro ribonucleoprotein particle (Ro RNP), in association with Ro60 and La proteins.
Source: Ensembl
GGCUGGUCUGAAGGUAGUUAGUUAUUUCAGUUGAUUGUUCCACAGUCAGUUACAGAUAGAAUUCCUUGUUCUACUUGCCCCUUGCCCCCAUCUCACUACUGCAGUUGACUAGUCUUUU